UGCCAGCCGCCGCGGUAAUACGGAGGGUGCAAGCGUUAAUCGGAAUUACUGGGCGUAAAGCGCGCGUAGGCGGUUAGUUAAGCUGGAUGUGAAAGCCCUGGGCUCAACCUGGGAACUGCAUUCAGAACUGGCUGGCUAGAGUACGAGAGAGGGUAGUGGAAUUUCCUGUGUAGCGGUGAAAUGCGUAGAUAUAGGAAGGAACAUCAGUGGCGAAGGCGACUGCCUGGCUCGAUACUGACGCUGAGGUGCGAAAGCGUGGGGAGCAAACAGGAUUAGAUA
RNAcentral lists this ribosomal RNA (279 nucleotides) under uncultured bacterium. Its description in RNAcentral is "partial 16S ribosomal RNA". It matches the Rfam family "Bacterial small subunit ribosomal RNA", at positions 506 to 784 of the family's 1533-position model. The record is from RNAcentral.